Molecule: ribosomal RNA, 142 nt
Filed under: Rhodobacter sp. TJ_12
Lineage: Bacteria; Pseudomonadati; Pseudomonadota; Alphaproteobacteria; Rhodobacterales
Description: partial 23S ribosomal RNA
Rfam family: Bacterial large subunit ribosomal RNA
Source: RNAcentral
CAUCUAAGCGGGAAGCCCCCUUCAAAACAAGGUCUCCCUUGAGGGCCGUGGAAGACCACCACGUCGAUAGGCCAGAGGUGUAAGCGCAGCAAUGCGUUCAGCUGACUGGUACUAAUUGCCCGAUAGGCUUGAUCUGACCCGG